Molecule: ribosomal RNA, 1558 nt
Filed under: Staphylococcus aureus
Lineage: Bacteria; Bacillati; Bacillota; Bacilli; Caryophanales; Staphylococcaceae
Description: 16S ribosomal RNA
Rfam family: Bacterial small subunit ribosomal RNA
Source: RNAcentral
UUUUAUGGAGAGUUUGAUCCUGGCUCAGGAUGAACGCUGGCGGCGUGCCUAAUACAUGCAAGUCGAGCGAACGGACGAGAAGCUUGCUUCUCUGAUGUUAGCGGCGGACGGGUGAGUAACACGUGGAUAACCUACCUAUAAGACUGGGAUAACUUCGGGAAACCGGAGCUAAUACCGGAUAAUAUUUUGAACCGCAUGGUUCAAAAGUGAAAGACGGUCUUGCUGUCACUUAUAGAUGGAUCCGCGCUGCAUUAGCUAGUUGGUAAGGUAACGGCUUACCAAGGCAACGAUGCAUAGCCGACCUGAGAGGGUGAUCGGCCACACUGGAACUGAGACACGGUCCAGACUCCUACGGGAGGCAGCAGUAGGGAAUCUUCCGCAAUGGGCGAAAGCCUGACGGAGCAACGCCGCGUGAGUGAUGAAGGUCUUCGGAUCGUAAAACUCUGUUAUUAGGGAAGAACAUAUGUGUAAGUAACUGUGCACAUCUUGACGGUACCUAAUCAGAAAGCCACGGCUAACUACGUGCCAGCAGCCGCGGUAAUACGUAGGUGGCAAGCGUUAUCCGGAAUUAUUGGGCGUAAAGCGCGCGUAGGCGGUUUUUUAAGUCUGAUGUGAAAGCCCACGGCUCAACCGUGGAGGGUCAUUGGAAACUGGAAAACUUGAGUGCAGAAGAGGAAAGUGGAAUUCCAUGUGUAGCGGUGAAAUGCGCAGAGAUAUGGAGGAACACCAGUGGCGAAGGCGACUUUCUGGUCUGUAACUGACGCUGAUGUGCGAAAGCGUGGGGAUCAAACAGGAUUAGAUACCCUGGUAGUCCACGCCGUAAACGAUGAGUGCUAAGUGUUAGGGGGUUUCCGCCCCUUAGUGCUGCAGCUAACGCAUUAAGCACUCCGCCUGGGGAGUACGACCGCAAGGUUGAAACUCAAAGGAAUUGACGGGGACCCGCACAAGCGGUGGAGCAUGUGGUUUAAUUCGAAGCAACGCGAAGAACCUUACCAAAUCUUGACAUCCUUUGACAACUCUAGAGAUAGAGCCUUCCCCUUCGGGGGGGCAAAGUGACAGGUGGUGCAUGGUUGUCGUCAGCUCGUGUCGUGAGAUGUUGGGUUAAGUCCCGCAACGAGCGCAACCCUUAAGCUUAGUUGCCAUCAUUAAGUUGGGCACUCUAAGUUGACUGCCGGUGACAAACCGGAGGAAGGUGGGGAUGACGUCAAAUCAUCAUGCCCCUUAUGAUUUGGGCUACACACGUGCUACAAUGGACAAUACAAAGGGCAGCGAAACCGCGAGGUCAAGCAAAUCCCAUAAAGUUGUUCUCAGUUCGGAUUGUAGUCUGCAACUCGACUACAUGAAGCUGGAAUCGCUAGUAAUCGUAGAUCAGCAUGCUACGGUGAAUACGUUCCCGGGUCUUGUACACACCGCCCGUCACACCACGAGAGUUUGUAACACCCGAAGCCGGUGGAGUAACCUUUUAGGAGCUAGCCGUCGAAGGUGGGACAAAUGAUUGGGGUGAAGUCGUAACAAGGUAGCCGUAUCGGAAGGUGCGGCUGGAUCACCUCCUUUCUAA